RNAcentral lists this ribosomal RNA (438 nucleotides) under uncultured bacterium. RNAcentral's name for it is "partial 16S ribosomal RNA". It matches the Rfam family "Bacterial small subunit ribosomal RNA", at positions 338 to 795 of the family's 1533-position model. The record is from RNAcentral.
CCUACGGGUGGCAGCAGUGGGGAAUAUUGCGCAAUGGGCGAAAGCCUGACGCAGCGACGCCGCGUGAGGGAUGAAGGUCUUCGGAUUGUAAACCUCUGUCUUUGGGGAAGAAAAUGACGGUACCCAAAGAGGAAGCUCCGGCUAACUACGUGCCAGCAGCCGCGGUAAUACGUAGGGAGCGAGCGUUGUCCGGAAUUACUGGGUGUAAAGGGAGCGUAGGCGGGCGAGAAAGUUGAAUGUUAAAUCUACCGGCUUAACUGGUAGCUGCGUUCAAAACUUCUUGUCUUGAGUGAAGUAGAGGCAGGAGGAAUUCCUAGUGUAGCGGUGAAAUGCGUAGAUAUUAGGAGGAAAACCAGUGGCGAAGGCGGCCUGCUGGGCUUUAACUGACGCUGAGGCUCGAAAGCGUGGGGAGCAAACAGGAUUAGAUACCCCUGUGUC